AGGAAGGAAGGAGGGAGGGAGGGAGUCGGGUGGUAAUUUACCGAGGUUGGUUAUUGUCGGGGUGACGGGUUGGGUGGUGGUAGUCCUGUGUGACGCACCACCAUGUGACGCGGUCCCCCUCCUACUCCUCCUCCCCUCCCUGCUUCUCUCACCUUACCAACGUCCGUACACACACACACUACGUCGUUCCACUCACAGUCCGUUUACAUGUACCGGUGCCUUAUCAGCGAGUGUGUUGUGUGUGAGAGGAAAGAAAUGAUAGUCGCUAACUAAAGCUCGGUCCUCGGCGGCAAGAACUCGACGUAACAGCUAACUUGGGUGGAAGCAGCAAGAAUCGUCAAUAGCAGCAGCUUGCAGUAUGACUACAUCCCCCUCUACUCUUCCCCCUCCCUGUCAGGCCAUGUUGAGCCACCAGCACAUGGCUCACCGCGGUAGGAAACAGUUUCCACCACCACCCAGGCCUGGCUCGACUCCGAGUGGCUAGACCGCUCCCACUGCCUCAUCUGGUCUGGUCGCCACCAACAGCCGCCCCUUAUUCAGUUAGACCCCACCAUCUGCUGUCUUCCUAAACAAGUCCAAAUUAAAUAAACAAUACUGAUAUAAAA
This is a long non-coding RNA of Homarus americanus (American lobster), 605 nucleotides long. RefSeq lists it as uncharacterized. Lineage: Eukaryota; Metazoa; Arthropoda; Malacostraca; Decapoda; Nephropidae. The record is from RefSeq and is a predicted model, not a curated record. The transcript is spliced from 2 exons.